AAAUGGAAUAUUUUGACGUAUUAAUGGUUCCCUAUAAAACCCUUUAAUUCUAAGAAAGUGUCAUAUGGUCUUGAACUCGGUCAAAACACUGCAGUAUGAAGGGUGAUAAUGAGUAAGCCUACGUUCAGUCGUUUUUUGAAAGCGACCACGCUGAGAUUGCUCCGUGAGCGACCGCUUCUGUGUGCAGCUGGCCUGGUGAUCGCUACGGGUUCGGCAGUCUACUUUUAUAACAAAUAUUACGGCGUCGGUGAGGAUGAACCGGCCACCGGGGAGACCGUGGACCGUGUUGUCACGGUUGAGGAGGAUCAUGAUCCCACCCUGGACCAGGAGGACCCAGUCCUUGUUCAGUUUGUGGAUGAGGAGGUUGGGCAGCGGCCCUGUCUGGCUUUAGUCCCUUGGUCUGGACCUCUGUGGGUUCCCAGCUCUCUGACUUAUUACCUUACCCUUGCUGGGAGGAUGUUAGUGAGAGAGCUGGCAGUGUUAAACACACAGAUGUUCAUGAGGGAUCAGCCUGUUCUCAUCUGUUUCACUCCUGUUGGGAGGAUGGUGUGGGAGGAACUGUCUUCUCAAACUGAACAGCCAAAUAGUGAAGACUCUGGUUUUCCCUAUGAGAAGAUGCAGCUGGUUGGGAACUGGGGUUCAUUUCAUUUCCAUACCUGGAUAAUCCGUUAUGGACGAGUGCAGCAAAAUGAAGAGGACAUGCAUCACCUGUGCAUUGUGAGGGGAGUGGAGAAACAGCUGUGGUGGAGCAGAGUCAUUCAGGAAAAAAUCAUGGACCCAUGGGGUAUUGUCCAGGUGGUCCUCACCAACAAGGAGGUGACUGGUAUUAAGUUCCUUGGUAGAAGGAUCCAUGGACUCAGGUCUUGCCUCGUCAAGAGGAGGUUAGAGUUCACCUAUUAUGAGGACGCCCAGCAGGUGGAUAUCUCCACCACAGUGGAGGGGUUCCAGGAGAGGGGGGAUGACAUGAUGGCGUAUCAGUUCUCUACCUCUGACAUUAUCACCAUCCCUCAUGAGCCGUCCUCUGGCUCCUCUCACCAGUUCCCCCAGGAUUCUCCACCUCCCCCUCCGCCUCCCCCAUUCCCUUCCGAUUCCCCUCCACCUUACCACUUCACCCAGGACCAGGCCCAGGACCAGACCCCUGACAGCACUCCUCAGGAGUUUGUGGAGGAGCAACAUAAUGUUGCAGAUGUGCCCCAGCUGUGGAGUUACUUUGGAAACCAAGGGACAACCAACUUCUCUCUGAGGCUGGCCUGUAUCCGACGUGCUAUGGAGGCUCUGACAUCCUCAGACAGUUCCUCCCUUAAUUACCUCACCCACGCUGGGAGGAUGGUGUUGAGUGGACUGUCCAAGCUCAACCAGCAGGAUGUGAGGCAGUUUCAGCAGGCCUAUGACAUCCUGGUGAACUUCAUUAAUGAGCCAGCAAACAGGGAGCGACUAGAGCUGGAGAUGGCUCUUGUAGGAAUCAACCACAUCAACUUCACGGAUGUAUUUUAUGAAUUCGUUCUACUAAGCCUUCUAGAAGGAAAAACAUCUCUUCCAACAUCUAGGCCUGGUACCUUCUUUUAUCUGCUCAUGGAAGUGAUCAUGAGGAUUCGCCCUCCUGGAGGAGCCUGGACAGAGUCUGCUGGGAACUUCUACCUCCUCAUUAAGGAUCAGAUGAAGGCGUGGUUGGACUCCAUCUUCAACCUUGAUGAGUCCAUCUAUGAAAGCCCACAGAGGCUCUCGUGGCAGGUGAUGGUGAAUCUAGAAAUGCAGGUUGACUUCCUCCUGUCCAGCCUGGAUUAAGGGUCCCAAACUGAGCUGAGGAUCCCAAACAUAAAAUAAAAGUAUUUUGCAUUUAAACAUUACCUUUCAAUCUGAAACUAAUUUUACAUCAUGUCAAAACAAAUCAAAUCAAAUUUUAUUGGUCACAAACACAUGGUUAGCAGAUGUUAAUGCGAGUGUAGCGAAAUGCUUGUGCUUCUAGUUCCGACCGUGCAGGAAAAUCUAACACGUAAUCUAACAAUUUCAA
This 2011-nucleotide long non-coding RNA is filed under the name Salmo salar (Atlantic salmon). Its description in RNAcentral is "lncRNA (ENSSSAG00000100251.1)". The record is from RNAcentral. Lineage: Eukaryota; Metazoa; Chordata; Actinopteri; Salmoniformes; Salmonidae.